Molecule: long non-coding RNA, 208 nt
Filed under: Helianthus annuus (common sunflower)
Lineage: Eukaryota; Viridiplantae; Streptophyta; Magnoliopsida; Asterales; Asteraceae
Description: hypothetical non coding rna
Source: RNAcentral
UUGUAAAUGUCGAGGAACUGGAAUGGCUGGUGUUCCGGGUACAGCAAGUGCCAUUUUUGCGGCUGUUAAAGAUGUUGGAGCUAAUGUCAUCAUGAUUUUCUCAGGCUAGCAGUGAAACAUUCCUGUGUGCUUUGCUGUGCCUGAGAAGGAAGUGAACGCGGUUGCAAAGGCAUUAGAGGCUAGAUUUCGUCAAGCUUUGAGUGCUGGC